UACGGGGGGGGCAAGCGUUGUUCGGAAUUACUGGGCGUAAAGGGCUCGUAGGUGGCCAACUAAGUCGGGCGUGAAAUCCCUCGGCUUAACCGGGGAACUGCGUCCGAUACUGGAUGGCUUGAGUUUGGGAGAGGGAUGCGGAAUUCCAGGUGUAGCGGUGAAAUGCGUAGAUAUCUGGAGGAACACCGGUGGCGAAGGCGGCAUCCUGGACCAACACUGACACUGAGGAGCGAAAGCCAGGGGAGCAAACGGG
This 253-nucleotide ribosomal RNA is filed under the name uncultured bacterium. Its description in RNAcentral is "partial 16S ribosomal RNA". It matches the Rfam family "Bacterial small subunit ribosomal RNA", at positions 524 to 776 of the family's 1533-position model. The record is from RNAcentral.